UCUCUUUGGAAUAUUCCUAGUACUUUAAUGUUCAUAGUCUUGGAUGAACAUUAAAGAUCCUUUUGACAUAGUUCCUUGUCCAUGCCUUUAUUUGUUGAUAGAUCCAUGCAGAUGUACUUUUCUGAACCUUUUAUUCAUGUCUUGCAUGUUCUUGAUGAAUCUGGGUUGCUUCUGAACAACCUUCUGAACAGGGUUCUGAACAACCUUCUGAACUGGGUUGCUUCUGAACAGAGUUGCUUCUGAACAACCUUCUGAGCUCUCAUCAGAACGUUCUGAUCAAACUCUCUGAUCAACAUUCUGAACUAACUUUCUGAACUUCAGA
This 322-nucleotide long non-coding RNA is filed under the name Medicago truncatula (barrel medic). Its description in RNAcentral is "long non-coding RNA (MTRU_LNC003239)". The record is from RNAcentral. Lineage: Eukaryota; Viridiplantae; Streptophyta; Magnoliopsida; Fabales; Fabaceae.